CGUGAAAUUGUUGAAAGGGAAGCGUUUAUGACCAGACUUGGGCUUGGUUAAUCAUCUGGGGUUCUCCCCAGUGCACUUUUCCAGUCCAGGCCAGCAUCAGUUUUCCCCGGGGGAUAAAGGCGGCGGGAAUGUGGCUCUCUUCGGGGAGUGUUAUAGCCCGUCGUGUAAUACCCUGGGGGGGACUGAGGUUCGCGCAUCUGCAAGGAUGCUGGCGUAAUGGUCAUCAACGACCCGUCUUGAAACACGG
RNAcentral lists this ribosomal RNA (247 nucleotides) under Fusarium sp. Its description in RNAcentral is "partial large subunit ribosomal RNA". It matches the Rfam family "Eukaryotic large subunit ribosomal RNA", at positions 398 to 664 of the family's 3401-position model. The record is from RNAcentral. Lineage: Eukaryota; Fungi; Ascomycota; Sordariomycetes; Hypocreales; Nectriaceae.